AAUAUUGCGCAAUGGGGGGAACCCUGACGCAGCAACGCCGCGUGAAGGAUGAAGGUUUUCGGAUUGUAAACUUCUUUAGUCGGGGACGCACAAGAUGCCGGUACCCGAAGAAUAAGCCACGGCUAACUACGUGCCAGCAGCCGCGGUAAUACGUAGGUGGCAAGCGUUGUCCGGAAUUACUGGGUGUAAAGGGCGUGUAGGCGGGAAUGUAAGUCAGAUGUGAAAUUCCGGGGCUCAACCCCGGCGCUGCAUCUGAAACUAUGUUUCUUGAGUGCUGGAGAGGAAAGCGGAAUUCCUAGUGUAGCGGUGAAAUGCGUAGAUAUUAGGAGGAACACCAGUGGCGAAGGCGGCUUUCUGGACAGUAACUGACGCUGAGGCGCGAAAGCGUGGGGAGCAAACAGG
Molecule: ribosomal RNA, 402 nt
Filed under: uncultured bacterium
Lineage: Bacteria
Description: partial 16S ribosomal RNA
Rfam family: Bacterial small subunit ribosomal RNA
Source: RNAcentral